AGACUUUUACAAAACGAGGAAGAGAUGAGAGGAAGCCCUUUCAUUAGUGGCUCCUCCCAAUACUGUUUUCUCUGCCAGACGUUCCCAGUACCUGAGGAGCCUGAGUUGGAGAACCUGCCUGUUUGACCUCGGGGCAGGUUGGACAGACAGCCCGAAAGCUGCACGGGAAAGCAAGGGCCUAACCCAGCUGCACAGGCUGCCGCAUGUCCCGCCUCCGGUCCACAGCUGUUACUACUUUCUCUAGGCUUCUGUGGCCAACACACACAAAACGUGCACACGUGCACACAUGCCCACAUGCACAUACAGAGCAAGGGGAACAGAGACAGAGAGAAGAAAGCGAUUUCAGUCCGCUUGGGGUUCUUUAUCUUUGUUUAUUUGGGCUUGGUUGGUUAGCAGCCUUAGUUAUAUUUCUAUUGCUGGAUAAAACCCACGACCAAGAGCAGUUUGGGAAGGAAAGGGUUUAUUUGGUUUUUAUUGAUGUUGGGGGAUAUUCGAUCAUACUGUGAACCCUGAGUUUGUAUUUGCAUUAAUUAAAUAAAAUUAAUCAGGAGGCUACAUUAACAACUGCAUUAACUACAUUGACAGAAAGUAACCAUAGAGCACCAGAGGGCAUCCAGGAGAGAUAGAGAGACAGGAAGUAGUAGGGUGGGAGUUGCAGUAGCCAAAGCACAGGUCUUUCAUGAAUGACCAGUUAGCUAGUUGCUGCUCAGCCUCUCCAAGCUCACAGGUUUUCACCCCAGCCUUUGAAGGUCAAGUCUUAUUCAUAAUUAGAAUGAUAGAGGUUUUGUUAAAGCUACCUUUAGUGGCAGCAACAGGGCUGGUGCCUGCAGGAGCAGAAUUCCUACCGGGCCGCUGCUACAGAAGCUGGCCAGGAACUGGGGAAUUGCAGUUGCUGGCUGAGGUAGCAGUAGGUUAAGGAGCAGUCACUGUGCCGAUGACACUGAAGGAAGCCGAGGCAGGAAGCCGAAGGCAGGAACUUGAAGCAGAGACCACAGAAAUGAGCCGUGUACCAGUCUCUGCUGUAAACUCUCAAAGCCACCCUUCCACCAGCAAGGCUUCAUCUCCUAAGUUCCACAACCUCCCCCAAACAGUGCCCAUGAGAGACGUUUUUCAUCCAAACCACUACAGCAUCCUAUAAUCUACGGAGACAAAUUAGGAGCGUAUGAGCACAUGGGUCUAUGAAAGUCACAUGAAGAAGACAAGGCCUGAGAACUUCACACACAACAGACUGAGGGAAGCGUUGGAAGUGAGGAUGGCCCCACCAGUCCCCCAUCUGACCACCUGGUGUGUACACCGAAGGACACAAGUGGAGAACUCCUGAUUGCCACGGAUACUUCAGCUCAGCUUAGUCCCUGCUGAAGAUGCCACCUAUCUGAAUUGCUGUCUGUCCAUCUGCCUGGACCUGAUUCUGCCCUUUGCUUCCAUGGCCUUCAGAGGUAUCAGACGAGAUACCUCACGUCUGCAGCUCAAUUUGACCCCCAAGAUUGGCUCAAGUUGUGAGACCCUGGCUGGUUCUGUGGCAGUGUCUCCAAUGGACCUCCAGCAAGUAUUUGUUUUGUUUCUCCAGAAAUUCUUCUACCAACCCUGUCUCCUUCCUGCACCUGCCCCUUGGCCUCUUUGGAGGCUUGUUAUUGUUGUGUUGUUUAUUUGUUUCUGAGACAGGGUUUCAUAUAUUUAUUCCAGGAUAUUUGAUAUAUAAUUGGGAGUUAACAUUAGUAGUCAACUUUGCCUGGAAGAAGAGAGAAAGAAAGACACACACACACACACACAGAGAGAGAGAGAGAGAGAGAGAGAGAGAGAGAGAGAGAGAGAGAGAGAGAGAGAGAGAGCCUGCAUUUGCUUUGGCUGGUAAUCAAGAGAGUUGGGACUCUAUAGCAAAUUGCUGCCAAAGAAACUGCUGUGCCUUGUGAAUUUAUUGCUAUUCAAUAAAUUCUGACACUAUGGAAAGACACAGGGGUAUUUGUCUAUGUUUCUGGCAUAAUAAAUGUAAGACAGUGAUAAACUUACCUAGUAGCAAAAUCCCAAGCCUGAGUUUGGAAUCAUAGGAGUCACUCAAAUCCACCACCAGCCCCACUCCCUGGGCACAUCUGUAGGCUCGAGAAGAAGAGUUAUACAUGUUUAUACAACCUCGGGGACCACCAGCAGGGAACUAUGCCAGAGGGCAAAUCACUCUCCCCUGCCUGCCAUGAGGGAUUCUUGUGGGACCCUAAUGGACUACCAGGUAUCAGCAGCUGGGACCCAGAGCUGCAGCAAUGUCCAGGGGCCAGAUUUCAGGACUUUAAACAUCUCCAUCAUCUCCCAAAAGUCACUCCGAGUGUGUAAGACACACUUAGUUGUAUCCAAGGGCAUUCAGGGCAAUAGAUAGGCAUUUAGAAGCCCUAAAGUGCCUGCAGUGGUUAGCUUUCACUGCCAUCUUGACACAGUCUGGAGUCUUCUGUGAAGAAAGUCUCUUUGAGGGAUUGUCUAGAUUAUGUGAGUAUGUCUCUGGGGUAAUUGCCUUGAUUAGUAAGUCAAUCUGCAAGCUUUUGGUGGCGCCAUUAUCUGAUCAAGAGAUCCUGGAUUGUAUAAGAAUAAGAGUUAGCAGCCGGGGCAGUGGUGGUGCACACCUUUAAUCCCAGCACUCGGGAGGCAGAGGCAGGCGGAUCUCUAUGAGUUUGAGGCCAGCCUGGUCUACAAGAGCUAGUUCCAGGACAGCUAGGGCUACACAUAGAAACCCUGUCUCAAAAAAAAAAAAAAAAAAAAAAAAAAAAAAAAAAAAAAAAAAAAAAAAAAAAAAAAAAAAGAAUAA
Molecule: long non-coding RNA, 2788 nt
Organism: Alexandromys fortis (reed vole)
Lineage: Eukaryota; Metazoa; Chordata; Mammalia; Rodentia; Cricetidae
Exons: 2
Source: RefSeq, a predicted model, not a curated record